GACGAACGCUGGCGGCGUGCUUAACACAUGCAAGUCGAACGAUGAAGCCCAGCUUGCUGGGUGGAUUAGUGGCGAACGGGUGAGUAACACGUGGGCAACCUGCCCCAAACUCUGGGAUAACUCCUCGAAAGAGGUGCUAAUACCGGAUACGAACUAGGUAGACAUCUGCACUAGUCGGAAAGUUUUUCGGUUUGGGAUGGGCCCGCGGCCUAUCAGCUUGUUGGUGAGGUAACGGCUCACCAAGGCUACGACGGGUAACCGGCCUGAGAGGGCGACCGGUCACACUGGGACUGAGACACGGCCCAGACUCCUACGGGAGGCAGCAGUGGGGAAUAUUGCGCAAUGGGCGAAAGCCUGACGCAGCGACGCCGCGUGAGGGAUGAAGGUCUUCGGAUCGUAAACCUCUUUCAGUAGGGACGAAGCGAAAGUGACGGUACCUAAAGAAGAAGCACCGGCUAACUACGUGCCAGCAGCCGCAGUAA
This 482-nucleotide ribosomal RNA is filed under the name uncultured bacterium. RNAcentral's name for it is "partial 16S ribosomal RNA". It matches the Rfam family "Bacterial small subunit ribosomal RNA", at positions 28 to 523 of the family's 1533-position model. The record is from RNAcentral.